CGCAAAUCGAAGGCCGCCCACACAAACCAACACCAUCAUCGUGUAGGUGGAAGUUUCCCCUAUCCGAUGAUGGUGCUGGUUUGCGUGGGUGGCCUUCGCUUUGUGAGGAAUGGGCUUUGGAACGGUUUGUUUGCAAAUGCUGAUGGGCCCUUUUCUAUUGUUGAUCCAGAAGUUUGGUUUUUCGACGAAUAAAUUAGCCCGCGGGAAAGUGCCGAUCAAGGUGACUACAUAUAGGUGUUCUAAUGUGUCAAAUUCACGAUUCAGCUAUGUUGGAUUUUUGUAUGGAACAGCUACCGAGUUUGUUUCUGUGCCAUAAAAAGGGAGCUACCGAGUUUGUUUACAAUUUGCUCUAAAACCGCACUUUUCCCCCCGCGACCUCCACGCUAAUAUAGUGACAAAGCUGUAUCACCAUUUAUAUACCCACCAUGGUGCCGAUAAUGUGUCCGUCGCGAGUUUCAAUGUUUUUCUGGAAAGUGUACCAGUCCCAAGCCGACUCCCGGUAGGGAGUCUGAAGCUGGAUCCCGGCGGGAAGUUUGCAGCCGGAUCUCUUUUGCAGUUCGUCAAUAAGGUAGAAGACUGGCAGCCCAAAACUUUCCGCAUUUUUGGAUCAUCUGUAGAACAGGCAGAGAUCUGGAGGCGCAGCGAUCACAUUGUCAUGAUUGUCUGGUAGUUCACUCAAAAAUGCUAUAACAAUCGCCAAGCUUGCUGUAAUGUCACCAAGUGCCUCGUCACCCACGAAUAGGCGCCUAUGUCAGUGGUCUAACAACUCUUAGCGCGCUAAUGGCAUAGUUCCCCUGCCGCAUAGAGAGUUGCCACAAUGAUAUUAGGUUAGCUAAGGUCAGUUAACUGACUGGUGGGAAACGGGAGCUUAAGCAAUGGCUAUUCUUUAUGCAUUUAAGAGAUAGUCUACCAGAAUGGAUGACUUUUUUUUGUACAAUUUUAUGUUUUCUGAUGGUUUCGGUUGUGCAAAACAUGAGAAUUAACUUUUUCAAUACUUUCAAUUGUACAAAGCAUUAGAGCUAGAAACAAGAUCUUGUAAACACUACACACCUUAACUGGUAGUUUGCUAAAAAAAAAUGCUGCAACAAUCGUCAAGCUCGCUGUAAUGUCACCAAGUGCCUCGUCACCUACAAAUUGGCGCCUAUGUCAGUGGUCUAACAACUCUUAGCGCGCUAAUGGCAUAGUUCCCCUGCCGCAUAGAGAGUUGCCGCAAUGAUAUUAGGUUAGCUAAGGUCAGUUAACUGACUGGUGGGAAACGGGAGCUUCAGCAUUGACAGUUAUGUACGCAUUUUUAUUAUGUUAUCUAACAACAAUGGUGUGUAGUGUUUACACGAUCAUGUUUCUAAUUCUAAUGUGUUGUAAAUAUAAUUGAAAGCA
Molecule: long non-coding RNA, 1377 nt
Organism: Ochlerotatus camptorhynchus
Lineage: Eukaryota; Metazoa; Arthropoda; Insecta; Diptera; Culicidae
Exons: 3
Source: RefSeq, a predicted model, not a curated record